GUGAAUCAUCAAAUCUUUGAACGCAAAUUGCACUCUCUGGUAUUCCGGAGAGUAUGCCUGUUUGAGGGUCAGUUUAUAUAUCAAUCGGUGUGGUUGCUGCCUUUCGCGGACACGCACCGGUUUUGGGUCGUCUUGCCUUCGGUUAAGUGUCCUAAACUUUUGCAUGAUUUUUUUCGAACGUACUUUAAUGACAUUACGUACGUUUGCGAUAUCGAAUACUAGGUGUGGUCAUCCUCAUGUUUCGCGCCUAUA
Molecule: unclassified non-coding RNA, 252 nt
Filed under: Glomeraceae sp.
Lineage: Eukaryota; Fungi; Glomeromycota; Glomeromycetes; Glomerales; Glomeraceae
Description: partial contains 5.8S ribosomal RNA and internal transcribed spacer 2
Rfam family: 5.8S ribosomal RNA (bases 1-71)
Source: RNAcentral